RNAcentral lists this transfer RNA (76 nucleotides) under Gammaproteobacteria bacterium. RNAcentral's name for it is "tRNA-Arg". It matches the Rfam family "tRNA". From Rfam's summary of the family: Transfer RNA (tRNA) molecules are approximately 80 nucleotides in length. Their secondary structure includes four short double-helical elements and three loops (D, anti-codon, and T loops). Further hydrogen bonds mediate the characteristic L-shaped molecular structure. tRNAs have two regions of fundamental functional importance: the anti-codon, which is responsible for specific mRNA codon recognition, and the 3' end, to which the tRNAs corresponding amino acid is attached (by aminoacyl-tRNA synthetases). tRNAs cope with the degeneracy of the genetic code in two manners: having more than one tRNA (with a specific anti-codon) for a particular amino acid; and 'wobble' base-pairing, i.e. permitting non-standard base-pairing at the 3rd anti-codon position. Lineage: Bacteria; Pseudomonadati; Pseudomonadota; Gammaproteobacteria. The record is from RNAcentral.
GCCUUCAUAGCUUAAUGAUUAAAGCCUCACUCUACGAAAGUGAAUGAUCCAAGUUCGAAUCUUGGUGAGGGCACCA